This is an RNA transcript of Hibiscus syriacus, 2945 nucleotides long. It is a transcript of the gene named kinesin-like protein KIN-13A, with no coding region annotated. The record is from RefSeq and is a predicted model, not a curated record. The transcript is spliced from 15 exons. Lineage: Eukaryota; Viridiplantae; Streptophyta; Magnoliopsida; Malvales; Malvaceae.
UCGCAGAUCUUGAAUCUUCAUUUUCUGUACUUCUCUGGGUUAAAAGAAUUACACCAGCUAUUGGUAAAUCGAAUUUGCGAAGUUCACUUUUAUGUUCUUCGAAUUCGGAUUUUGUCUCUCCCUUGUUGGUAAAUAGAUCUUAAAAGUUGGCUCCUCAAAGGCGAUCGCAGCGCCACAUGGGUGGCCAGAUGCAGCAAAGCAAUGCUGCAGCGACGGCGCUCUACAAUCAUUCCGGCGGAGGUGGCGGCGGGUCCUUGCAUAAUGGGGCUCCUGCCAGCGGCGAUGCUGGUGAUGCCGUUAUGGCGCGUUGGUUGCAGUCUGCUGGAUUGCAACAUCUGGCCUCUCCCUUGGCAUCUAGCGGUAUGGACCAACGCCUCCUUCCCAAUCUCCUCAUGCAGGGUUAUGGAGCACAAUCAGCAGAAGAAAAGCAGAGGCUUUUUAAAUUAAUGAGGAACCUCAAUUUUAAAGGGGAACCUGGGUUAGAGCCAUUCACACCAACUGCCCAAAGUUUGGGAGGGCUGGGUACAUCUGAUGGGUUCUAUUCCCCGGAGUUCAGGGGGGAUUUUGGAGCUGGGCUUCUUGAUCUUCAUGCUAUGAAUGAUACAGAGCUUCUUUCUGAGCAUGUUAUCCCAGAACCUUUUGAGCCUUCACCAUUCAUGCCUAGAUUGAACAAAGAAUUUGAAGAUGAACUUAUUGUAACAACUAGCCUGCAGGAAAAAGAGCUGAAUGAUGCUGAUGCCUCUGCUUCAUUAUUCUCUGCCAAUGAAAAAGAGAUGAGCACGAGGGAAAAUAAUGUUGCUAAGAUUAAAGUUGUGGUACGUAAAAGACCAUUAAAUAAGAAGGAGAUUUCUCGGAAGGAGGAUGAUGUAGUAACUGUGAGUGAGAAUGCUUUAACUGUCCAUGAACCCAAGCUAAAGGUGGACUUGACAGCAUAUGUGGAGAAACAUGAGUUCUGUUUUGAUGCUGUUCUGGAUGAGCAUGUUACAAAUGAUGAGGUGUAUCGUGAAACUGUUGAGCCGAUUAUUCCCAUCAUCUUUCAGCGAACAAAAGCCACUUGUUUUGCAUACGGACAAACAGGUAGCGGUAAGACGUUCACAAUGCAACCAUUACCACUCAGAGCAGCGCAAGACCUUGUUAGAUACUUGCAUCAGCCAGUUUAUCGCAAUCAGAGAUUUAAAUUGUGGCUUAGCUUUUUUGAGAUAUAUGGUGGAAAACUCUUUGACCUUCUGAGUGAGAGAAAGAAACUUUGUAUGAGGGAAGAUGGGAAACAACAAGUCUGCAUAGUUGGAUUGCAAGAAUUUGAGGUGUCAGAUGUGCAAAUUGUGAAGGAAUACAUUGAGAGGGGAAAUGCCACUAGAAGCACAGGAUCUACUGGUGCAAAUGAGGAAUCUUCAAGGUCACAUGCUAUUUUACAACUUGCCAUCAAGAAGCACCCAGAGAUGAAGGAGUCGAAGCGGAACAAUGAUGGGAAUGAAUCAAAACCUGGGAUGGUUGUGGGAAAGAUUUCUUUUAUUGAUCUUGCGGGCAGCGAAAGAGGUGCAGAUACCACUGAAAACGAUCGGCAAACUAGGAUCGAAGGUGCUGAAAUAAAUAAAAGCCUUUUGGCUCUUAAGGAGUGCAUUCGUGCACUGGACAAUGAUCAGAUCCAUAUACCAUUCCGUGGGAGCAAACUCACUGAAGUGCUCCGUGACUCUUUUGUCGGCAAUUCAAGAACAGUUAUGAUCUCCUGUAUUUCUCCAAAUGCUGGUUCAUGUGAACAUACACUCAAUACUCUGAGAUAUGCUGAUAGGGUUAAGAGUCUUUCCAGAAGUGGUAAUUCAAAAAAAGAUCAGGCUGUAAAUUCUUUGCAACCAAGUAAUAAGGAUGCUUCUUCAGCAUCUUCUCUGUUAGCUACUGCUGAUGUUGACGAUGUUUAUGAGCGAAAACAGGAAGUAAAAAUUGUCGAUACGGGUAGAAGGAUUGUAGAGAAAGAUGUUUAUACUGCAGAUUUUGACAAACAGCCCUCAACAUUUGUGUCAAGUUACCCCUUCAAUGGAAGGGAGGAAAGUGGAAAAGCUUCUGACCCAACUGAUAGGGAGAGAUUUGAAGUAAAUAAUAAUUAUGGUGGUUCUACAGGUCAAAAAGUUUACCCGUCAAAUUCUCAAAAUUCAGCUGAUACUGAAGAGAAAGUGCCGAAGGUGUCACCACCUCGUAGAAAAGCAACUAGAGAAGAAAAAUCGGAGAAGAUGUGGAAUAUGGUCAAGAAAGAUGGAGGAUCUGAUUUGUCCUCCUCAAACUCUAGGCAGGCGAAUGCUGUUAAUAAUUACGAAACAAAUAACGUUGGAUAUGGACAAUAUGAUCCUGAACCUCCCACUGAUGAGAAUAUCAAUGCAAUACUUGAGCAGGAGGAAGAGGCUCUAAUUGCUGCUCACAGAAAAGAAAUUGAGGGCACAAUGGAGAUUGUUUGUGAGGAAAUGAAGCUUUUGGCAGAGGUGGACCAACCAGGCAGCCACAUUGACAAUUAUGUGACCCAGCUGAGCUUUGUACUUUCACGCAAGGCUGCUAGUCUGGUUAGUCUUCAAGCUCGCCUUGCCCGGUUCCAGCAUCGACUGAAAGAGCAGGAGAUACUGAGUCGGAAAAGAGUUCCUCGUUGAUGCAGUCAUGUGUUAUCUGCUCUAAUUGCUGCAUCAGACCUUGUCCAGUAAUUUCUUCUCCUAUAGAUUAUUACUUUGAUGCACCAAGCUGCAGUACGGCUUGAGAGGAAAUUCAGUAGUGGAAAGAUCCUGAUCCUAUUUCCUGGCAUCAAACGUUGCCAUUCUCAUACAUGUUUCCUGCAAACACAACGGUGUUGACGAUUCAAUAAGGUGAUUAUACUUAUGUGAUGCUUGAUUUAUCGACAUGUAUUGUUUAGAUGUUGAAUAUGAUGUUGUUGAGAUUGAAUGGUUUGGUGGCCAUGUGUUGUUUAA